This 492-nucleotide ribosomal RNA is filed under the name uncultured bacterium. RNAcentral's name for it is "partial 16S ribosomal RNA". It matches the Rfam family "Bacterial small subunit ribosomal RNA", at positions 29 to 507 of the family's 1533-position model. The record is from RNAcentral.
AGUGAACGCUGGCGGUAGGCCUAACGCAUGCAAGUCGAACGGCAGCACAGUAAGAGCUUGCUCUUACGGGUGGCGAGUGGCGGACGGGUGAGGAAUACAUCGGAAUCUACUUUUUCGUGGGGGAUAACGUAGGGAAACUUACGCUAAUACCGCAUACGACCAACGGGUGAAAGCAGGGGAUCUUCGGACCUUGCGCGAUUGAAUGAGCCGAUGUCGGAUUAGCUAGUUGGCGGGGUAAAGGCCCACCAAGGCGACGCUCCGUAGCUGGUCUGAGGGGAUGAUCAGCCACACUGGAGCUGAGACACGGUCCAGACUCCUACGGGAGGAAGCAGUGGGGAAUAUUGGACAAUGGGCGCAAGCCGGAUCCAGCCAUACCGCGUGGGUGAAGAAGGCCUUCGGGUUGUAAAGCCCUUUUGUUGGGAAAGAAAAGCAGCAGGUUAAUACCCCGCUGUUCUGACGGUACCCAAAGAAUAAGCACCGGCUAACUUCGUG